RNAcentral lists this ribosomal RNA (409 nucleotides) under Actinomycetes bacterium. Its description in RNAcentral is "Actinobacteria bacterium partial 16S ribosomal RNA". It matches the Rfam family "Bacterial small subunit ribosomal RNA", at positions 355 to 776 of the family's 1533-position model. The record is from RNAcentral. Lineage: Bacteria; Bacillati; Actinomycetota; Actinomycetes.
UGGGGAAUAUUGCACAAUGGGCGGAAGCCUGAUGCAGCGACGCCGCGUGGGGGAUGAAGGCCUUCGGGUUGUAAACUCCUUUCGACAGGGACGAAGCUUUUGUGACGGUACCUGUAUAAGAAGCACCGGCUAACUACGUGCCAGCAGCCGCGGUAAUACGUAGGGUGCGAGCGUUGUCCGGAAUUACUGGGCGUAAAGAGCCCGUAGGUGGUUUGUCGCGUCGUCUGUGAAAUUCCGGGGCUUAACUCCGGGCAUGCAGGCGAUACGGGCUGACUUGAGUGCUGUAGGGGGGACUGGAAUUCCUGGUGUAGCGGUGAAGUGCGCAGAUAUCAGGAGGAACACCGAUGGCGAAGGCAGGUCUCUGGGCUGUAACUGACGCUGAGGAGCGAAAGCAUGGGUAGCGAACAGG